AGUGAACGCUGGCGGUAGGCCUAACACAUGCAAGUCGAACGGCAGCACAGUAAGAGCUUGCUCUUACGGGUGGCGAGUGGCGGACGGGUGAGGAAUACAUCGGAAUCUACUUUUUCGUGGGGGAUAACGUAGGGAAACUUACGCUAAUACCGCAUACGACCUACGGGUGAAAGCAGGGGAUCUUCGGACCUUGCGCGAUUGAAUGAGCCGAUGUCGGAUUAGCUAGUUGGCGGGGUAAAGGCCCACCAAGGCGACGAUCCGUAGCUGGUCUGAGAGGAUGAUCAGGCAAACUGGAACUGAGACACGGUCCAGACUCCUACGGGAGGCAGCAGUGGGGAAUAUUGGACAAUGGGCGCAAGCCUGAUCCAGCCAUACCGCGUGGGUGAAGAAGGCCUUCGGGUUGUAAAGCCAUUUUGUUGGGAAAGAAAAGAAGCAGGUUAAUACCCCGCUGUUAUGACGGUACCCAAAGAAUAAGCACCGGCUAACUUCGUG
Molecule: ribosomal RNA, 492 nt
Filed under: uncultured bacterium
Lineage: Bacteria
Description: partial 16S ribosomal RNA
Rfam family: Bacterial small subunit ribosomal RNA
Source: RNAcentral